Molecule: ribosomal RNA, 257 nt
Filed under: uncultured bacterium
Lineage: Bacteria
Description: partial 16S ribosomal RNA
Rfam family: Bacterial small subunit ribosomal RNA
Source: RNAcentral
UACGAAGGGGGGCUAGCGUUGCUCGGAAUCACUGGGCGUAAAGCGCACGUAGGCGGAUCUUUAAGUCAGGGGUGAAAUCCCAAGGCUCAACCUUGGAACUGCCUUUGAUACGUGGGGAUCUCGAGUCCGGAAGAGGUUGGUGGAACUGCGAGUGUAGAGGUAGAAAUUCGUAGAUAUUCGCAAGAACACCAGUGGCGAAGGCGGCCAACUGGUCCGGUACUGACGCUGAGGUGCGAAAGCGUGGGGAUCAAACAGGG